RNAcentral lists this long non-coding RNA (1146 nucleotides) under Macaca fascicularis (crab-eating macaque). Its description in RNAcentral is "lncRNA (ENSMFAG00000057140.1)". The record is from RNAcentral. Lineage: Eukaryota; Metazoa; Chordata; Mammalia; Primates; Cercopithecidae.
UUUUUUUUUUUUUUUUUUUUUUUUGAGACGGAGUCUUGCUCUGUCACCCAGGCUGGAGUGCAGUGGCCGGAUCUCAGCUCACUGCAAGCUCCUCCGCCCGGGUUUACGCCAUUCUCCUGCCUCAGCCUCCCGAGUAGCUGGGACUACAGGCGCCCACCAGCGCCCGGUUAGUUUUUUGUAUUUUUAGUAGAGACGGGGUUUCACUGUGUUAGCCAGGAUGGUCUCGAUUUCCUGACCUCGUGAUCCGCCCGCCUCGGCCUCCCAAAGUGCUGGGAUUACAGGCUUGAGCCACCGCGCCCGGCCGAAUGCUAUUCUUAAAAAGACAAAAAUUAACAAAUGAUGGUUAGGACAUGAAGACAAUGAAUCUCUCAUACAAUGCUUGUGGGAAUAUAAAUUAGUAUAGCUCUUGUGAAAGACAGUAUGUAUGCUUCUCAAAAAACUGAAAAUAGAAAUACUAUACAUGCUAGCAAUCCAAAUACUGGUUAUCUAAAGAAAAGGGAAUCAGUAUUCCAGAGUGAUACCUGCAUCCUUAUACUCAUUGCAACACUAUUCACAAUAGCCAAGAUAUGGAAUCAACCGAAAUGUUCAUCAACACAUAAAUGGAUAAAGAAAAUGUUAUGUAUAUAUACACAAUAGUAUACUAUUCAGUCACAAAAAAAUACAUCUUAUCAUUUUCAGUCACGUGGAUGGAACUAGAGAUCAUUAAGUUAAGCAAAAUAAGUCUGGCAGAGAAAGACAAUUGUCACAUCCUUCACUCAUAUGUAGGAGAUUAAAAAUGUUGAUCUCAUGAAGAUCAUAAAGACAGAGAGUAGUAUGAUACUUACUAGAGACUGAGAAGGGGUAGGAAUGAAGAGAGGUUGGUUAAUGGAUACAAACUUACAGUUAGAUAGAAGGAAUAAACUCUGAUGCUUGAUAGCACAGUAGGAUGAAUACAGUUAAUACCUGGAAGAUUUUAAAUGUUCCCAAUACAAAAUAAUAAUAAAUGCUCGAGUUGGUGAAUAUCUUAAGUAACCUGAUAUGAUCAUUGCACAUUGCAUGCAUAUAUCAAAAAACAAAUGUACCCCAUAAAUGUGUACAUUUUUUGUAUCAAUAAAAAAGUAAUAAAAAUAAUUACAACAAAGUCUGACAUUUAUUUUCCACUUCUUG